GAUAAGAACGUAGCGAAAUGCGAUAAGUAAUGCGAAUUGCAGAAUUCAGUGAAUCAUCGAAUCUUUGAACGCACAUUGCGCCCGCUAGUAUUCUGGCGGGCAUGCCUGUCUGAGCGUCAUUUCAACCCUCGCCCCCGGCUUUUGCUGGGAGCGGUGUUGGGGAUCGGCCGCCCGUCACUGGGAGGCCGGCCCCGAAAUAGAGUGGCGACCACGCCGUGUGCUCCUCUGCGUAGUAGUAAAUCACCUCGCAGGCGGACAGCGGUGCGGCCUGCCGUAAAACCCCCAACUCUUUCUGGUUGACCUCAGAUCAGGUAGGAAUACCCGCUGAACUUAAGCAUAUCAAUAAGCGGAGGA
Molecule: unclassified non-coding RNA, 354 nt
Filed under: soil metagenome
Description: partial contains 5.8S ribosomal RNA, internal transcribed spacer 2, and large subunit ribosomal RNA
Rfam family: 5.8S ribosomal RNA (bases 4-119)
Source: RNAcentral